RNAcentral lists this small nuclear RNA (94 nucleotides) under Moschus moschiferus (Siberian musk deer). The record is from RNAcentral. Lineage: Eukaryota; Metazoa; Chordata; Mammalia; Artiodactyla; Moschidae.
AUGCUCAUUUCAGCAGCACAUAUAGUAAAAUUGGAACGAUACAGAGAAUACUAGCAUGGCCCCUAUACAAAUUCAUGGAGCAUUCCAUAUUUUU